Molecule: long non-coding RNA, 2499 nt
Organism: Oncorhynchus tshawytscha (Chinook salmon)
Lineage: Eukaryota; Metazoa; Chordata; Actinopteri; Salmoniformes; Salmonidae
Source: Ensembl
CAAAAAUAAACCUGCAUGAGAGGGAAAGAGAGAGAGAGCGAGAGGGAGGGAGGAGGAAGAUAAGAGCCAUUACAACAGAAGAGUUGGGGAAACAGUAUGCGUUUCAAUUCAUUAAGAACUGCGCAAUUUCUUAGUAUCCAUCGCCGCUUUGGUCCCGGUGUCCUAAAAUAUAUUGAUAUCUAAAGGCUUGUUUGGAUUGAACAUGCGUGUGGAAAACCCGCCCGCGGUGCACGCAUAGCCUAUACCGGCGGUUGUAGCAGCUACGUACUUGGCUUGGGGAUUUUGAAACGGAAUGUUCAAUUCUUCUGCGAGAGGGCUGUACAUUCAUUUUGGAAGACGAUAUGCAAGAUUAGAGAUUACUGUACAGCUUUGAAAUUGUGCAACAACACGAGACUAAUCGUUGUGCCAUGCCCAUGGCUGAUUCUCUAAAUGCUCUCAUCUCUCCCAAGCAACGAUUUCAUGUGUCUGCGUGUACAGUUUCUGCAAGACGACAUUUUCUAAAUGGAGUAAGGAUUUUUGACACAUUAUUCAGCUAUUACUUAAUUUGGGGAACGGUUUUGGGAGGCUACGUGGCUGAACGAACGUCAUUCGUGUGGAAAGAAGAUGUGUUACGAUGUUUUUUUUUCGGUUAGUGUGCAGCAACGGCACCUCCCAUGAGAAAGCAGCAUGCACAAACAGCGGAACAAGGCCUAACAUGAUGCCACGGCCUCGGUGUGCUGUUGGCAUGGGCCAGCCUGGCAUCACCUGAACAAUCAUUAAAGAUGUUAACAUCACGGUCAAGGGCUUUGCAGCCACAGCGAAGAGCCAAUCAUAAUGAAGUGUGGGAAUGCGGGGCCGUCUGGUUGGAGCACGCAGUUGGCCGGGUUGAGGGCUCGCCUUCUGACUGAGUUAAGUGAGAGAACGACAGACAGACGUUUGCUGUCCAUCCUUCACUGGUCGGUGGUAACUGGUGAGUCUAGCAUAUGAGUGAGGGAGAGGAGAGAGGGGGAAAAGAGCAGAAUUAACAACCGCAGUAGCACCUAUGGUUGUUUGGCCAAAGUAAACUGGCACGUGUGAUAUUUUGUUAAACGUUGUAACUGGGAAUAUGUAUUUGUGUUAAAAGCAGGGAUGCCAACAUUCAUUUAUACUUUGGACUAUAAUGCGUGUUGGAGUGCAGCUCUGUAGUGAGAUUCUCUGCUCUGAAAGCUCUAGGUAUCUCAAGGCUGCUGAUUCUAUUCUAGCUAUUUCUACAGGUAUAUAUGCUGUGCUAUCUAUUUUUACAGGUAUAUAUUCUGUGCCAUCUACUUCUACAGGUGUAUAUUCAAAGCUAUCUAUUUCUACAGGUAUAUAUUCUGUCCUAUCUAUUUCUACAGGUAUAUAUUCUGUGCUAUCUAUUUCAACAGGUAUAUAUUCUGUGCUAUAUAUUUCUACAGGUAUAUAUUAGGUGCUAUCUAUUUCUACAGGUAUAUAUUCUGUGCUAUAUAUUUCUACAGGUAUGUAUUAGGUGCUAUCUAUUUCUACAGGUAUAUAUUCUGUGCUAUAUAUUUCUACAGGUAUUUAUUCGGUGCUAUCUAUUUCUACAGGUAUAUAUUCGGUGCUAUCUAUUUCUACAGGUAUAUAUUCUGUGCUAUCUAUUUCUACAGGUAUAUAUUCUGUGCUAUCUAUUUCUACAGGUAUAUAUUAGGUGCUAUGUAUUUCUACAGGUAUAUAUUCUGUGCUAUCUAUUUCUACACAUAUAUAUUGGGUGCUAUGUAUUUCUACACGUAUAUAUUCUGUGCUAUCUAUUUCUACAGGUAUAUAUUAGGUGCUAUGUAUUUCUACAGAUAUAUAUUCUGUGCUAUCUAUUUCUACACAUAUUCUGUGCUCUUUCUACAGGUAUAUACUAUGUGCUAUCUAUUUUUACAGGUAUAUAUUCUGUGGCAUCUACACUGAGUGUACAACACAUUGGGAACAUCUUCCUAACAUUCUUCCAUAUUCUUUAGAAACCACCACGCAUUGCGAGCGAACAGUGUUGAAUAUAUACCUACCACCAGUGCAAUUCAUUAAACUGACAAACUUAUAUGGAAUAUGAAUAUCUUGUUCAUUUAGUUAACAGACACAGUGGGCAAGUAGGUUUUUCAGACACAGUGAAAUAGUAGAUAUUACAGUACUAUCUUGUAGUAUCAUAGUUAGGGCCAGGAGUUUUUCCAGGGCUUCCUGUGAGCUAAGCAGGACAAACUCUAGGCCCUAUGGUCAGGAAAUACUCUUCAGGCAUUAAGAAGCAACACGGUCUAGAAUUUUUUGUUCAAGAAAAAACCCUGUCACUUGUCAUUUACGUAGUGUUAUUACCUUGAACAUAAAGGUCUCUGUCCCUCCCUCCCUCCAUUCCUCCCUCCAUUCCUCCCUCCCUCCAUUCAUCCCUCCUUUCCUCCCUCCAUUCCUCCCUCCCUCCAUUCCUCCCUCUAUUCCUCCCUCCCUCCUUUCCUCCCUCCAUUCCUCCCUCCAUUCCUCCCUCCAUUCUUCCCUCCCUCCAUUCCUCCC